AUCACUUCUCGGCCUUUUGGCUAAGAUCAAGUGUAGUAUCUGUAACAUAAAAAACAUUUUCUUGUCUGCAAAGUACAGGUGAAACUCGAAAAAUUGGAAUAUCGUGCAAAAGUUCAUUCAUUUCAGUAAUGCAACUUAAAAGGUGAAACUAAU
This 153-nucleotide small nuclear RNA is filed under the name Naja naja (Indian cobra). Its description in RNAcentral is "U2 spliceosomal RNA (ENSNNAG00000000078.1)". It matches the Rfam family "U2 spliceosomal RNA". Rfam says of the family: U2 is a small nuclear RNA (snRNA) component of the spliceosome (involved in pre-mRNA splicing). Lineage: Eukaryota; Metazoa; Chordata; Lepidosauria; Squamata; Elapidae. The record is from Rfam by way of RNAcentral.